RNAcentral lists this ribosomal RNA (432 nucleotides) under uncultured Rhodospirillales bacterium. Its description in RNAcentral is "bacterial SSU rRNA". It matches the Rfam family "Bacterial small subunit ribosomal RNA", at positions 952 to 1382 of the family's 1533-position model. The record is from RNAcentral. Lineage: Bacteria; Pseudomonadati; Pseudomonadota; Alphaproteobacteria; Rhodospirillales.
CGACGCAACGCGCAGAACCUUACCAGCCCUUGACAUGGGACUCGCCGGGAGCAGAGACGCUCCCUUCGGUCGGCCGGAGUCCGCACAGGUGCUGCAUGGCUGUCGUCAGCUCGUGUCGUGAGAUGUUGGGUUAAGUCCCGCAACGAGCGGCAACCCUCGUCUCCAGUUGCCAUCAGGUUAAGCUGGGCACUUUGGAGAAACUGCCGGUGACAAGCCGGAGGAAGUGGGGAUGACGUCAAGUCCUCAUGGCCCUUACGGGCUGGGCUACACACGUGCUACAAUGGCGGUGACAAUGGGAUGCGAAGGGGCGACCCGGAGCCGAUCCUAAAAAGCCGUCUCAGUUCGGAUUGCACUCUGCAACUCGAGUGCAUGAAGUUGGAAUCGCUAGUAAUCGAGGAUCAGCAUGCCUCGGUGAAUACGUUCCCGGGCCUU